Molecule: ribosomal RNA, 253 nt
Filed under: uncultured bacterium
Lineage: Bacteria
Description: partial 16S ribosomal RNA
Rfam family: Bacterial small subunit ribosomal RNA
Source: RNAcentral
UACGUAGGGUGCGAGCGUUAAUCGGAAUUACUGGGCGUAAAGCGUGCGUAGGCGGUUCUCCAAGUCCGUUGUGAAAGCCCCGGGCUCAACCUGGGAAUGGCGGUGGAAACUAGGGGACUGGAAUCUGGCAGAGGGGGGUGGAAUGCCGCGUGUAGCAGUGAAAUGCGUAGAGAUGCGGCGGAACACCGAUGGCGAAGGCAGCCCCCUGGGCUGAGAUUGACGCUCAGGCACGAAAGCGUGGGGAGCAAACAGG